RNAcentral lists this long non-coding RNA (2714 nucleotides) under Homo sapiens (human). RNAcentral describes it as "HTR5A antisense RNA 1 (HTR5A-AS1)". Lineage: Eukaryota; Metazoa; Chordata; Mammalia; Primates; Hominidae. The record is from RNAcentral.
ACACGAAGAGCACCACACAGAGCGGCAGGUAGAAGGCGCCUACGGUGGAGAACACGGCGUAGGAAGGCUCGCGGCUUACCUGGCACUCCUCGCUGCCCUCAGAGUACGUCUCUCCCCAGCCAAAAAGCAGCGGGGCCAGAGAGAUGACAGCGGAGAGUGCCCAGGUGAGCGCGAUCAUGACGUUGGAGACGCACUUGCGGGUGCGGAGCGUGUAUUCCAUGUGGCGCGUGAUGGACCAGUAGCGGUCCAGGGCUAUGGCCGUCACGUUCCAGAUGCUGGCCGUGCAGCAAAGCACGUCGCACGCGAUCCAAAGCUGGCACAGCCUCCGACCUAGCUGCCAGCGGCGCCCGGACAGCUCGUGCACCAGGCUCAGCGGCAUGACCAGCGCGGCCACCAGGACAUCCGAGACGGCCAUGGAUGCCACCAGGUUGUGGGGCACGCGGUGGAAGGUGCGUACACGGAGGAUGGUCGCCAGCACCAGCAGGUUCCAGGCGAACGUCGCCGCCACCAGAAAGCCCAGCAAGAGUAAAACAAGUAUCAGGAGAAUGCACUGAGAAAAGAGAAAGUCCUCCACUGGAACCUAGAGGACGGGACAACAUCAUUAAAUACCGGAUUAUUCACAGGGCUGUUUCAAACACCACUUAAAAACAGCUGAUGGUGACUGCCUGCAUGCAGAGCAACUGUGCAUGGCCCCAAUCUGGAAGCAAGCUUGUGCUUCUUUAAGGCAAAUCACCUUCUUGAGGUCAUGGAACUAAUGGGAAUGAGAUGUAAACUAUGAAUCCUCUUCUUUGGAAAAAGUUCUGCAUCUAGUCUCAGGGCCUGUUAUCUGGAGGAAUGGAUGAACUGUGUUGCCCACAGGCGGGCCUCAAUGGAUCUCUAUGAAUCUUGAAAGGCAUUAUGGGCUUGUGAUUAUAUUCCCUACUGAUUCCCCAGGCCACAGCUGUCUGUAUUGAUAGCUAAGUGAGCAGCAGAAUAGUUAAUAAGGACAAAGCCAAGGAUGACUGAGGAUAAUUUGUGAAAAAUAGAGUGUCAUAAAUUUAGGGACUGAAUAGAAUAUUCCCACAAAGGAGAGAUCCAAUGGAGCAUUUCCAGAAGGGACAAACCCUGUUCAGAAAGUCUGGCUUAUCUCUUAAAAAUACACAAAUAAAAAAUCAUAAUAUUUCAGCUUCAUCUUAAAGCAUAGCCCCAAUUUUAUCUUGAAAAACACUGAAAAGGAAAAGAAUCUGAAAAGGUAUAAAACUCCCGUCUGCCAUAUGGUACCUCUGAAAUGGCAGUAUUGGGAAAUAUACCUUCCUGGGUUGUCACCUCUUAUGGGUUAAACUGUGUCUCUCCUUCCCCCCUCCCUUACCCCCUGCCAGAUUUAUAUAUGGAAGUCCUAACCCCUAGAACCUCAUAGUGUGACUAUAUUUAGAAAUAAGAUCUUUAAAGGGAUGAUUAAGUUAAAAUGAGGCCAUAGGAUAGGGCCUCAUUCAAUCUGACUGACAUCCUUAUGAAAAGAGGAAAUUUAGACAUGCAAAGAGACACCAAGGAUGUGUGUGUGCAUAGGAUAGACCACGUGAGAAUAAAGCAAGAAGGUGGCCAUCUACAAGCCAAGGAGAGAGACAUUAGAAGAUACCAGUAUUGGAAGAUUAGAAGAUAUCAAGAUUGGAUUUCCAGCUGCCAGAACUAGGAAAAAAUAAAUUUCUAGUAUGAGCCACUCAGUCUGUGGUAUUUUGUUAUGGCAGCCCUAGCAAGCUAAUAUACCAUCCGACAAAAGAUACUAGCAAAAGAUACAACCACAUAACUGAACGAGGUGCUAUACUGGAGAAGAGGGAAUUAUAGACAUAUAAACAAAUCAUGGGACAUCUACUAAAACCUUUCCAAAAGGUAGUUUGCAGCCAUCUAGCAAUCAUUCGAGUGCAGACUCAGUUGUCUAUUGAGGUUACUUACGGUUUGUAAUCAAGUCAUGUCACUGGCUUAUAGAAAAAUACUUAUUUUAGAUUUUUCUAUAAUGGGAAGGUAUGAAUCUAUUUCAUUCAAGUAGGAGCUGAUUUUUUGGUUUGUUUUUGCUUCUGUUUUUUGAGACAGAGUCUCACUCUGUCAUCCAGGCUGGAGUGCAGUGGCACAAUCUUGGCUCACUGCAACUUCCAUCUUCCGGGUUCAAGCGAUUCCCAGCUAAGUUUUUUGUAUUUGUAGUAGAGAUGGGGAUUUUACCAUGUUGUCCAGGCUGGUCUCGAACUCCUGACCUCAAUUGAUCCAUCCCCAUCAGCCUCCCAAAUUGUUGGAAUUACAGGCCUAAGCCACCACACCCGGCCAAGACCAACGAAUUUUAAUGUAACAGCAUAAUAAACAUGCAUGAUACAAUUUCAGAUUCCACAUCACAACAAAUCUUUAAGGUGCUACCACUCAUUGAGUUUUAAUAUAGCAUCACAGAAAAAAUAUCCAUAAUUAUCUGAAAAUAGUAUUAAAGUACUCUAUUGUCUGCUGUAUAUCUGUAUGAAAGUGGAUGUUCUUCACAAUCUUAAACUAAAAUAACAUAUCCCAACAGAUGGAAUGUAGAAACAUAUGAUGUUCUAGCUGUCUUGAAGAGAUUUGCAAAAAUGUUAAUGCUAUUCAGAAAUAUUUUAUGAAAAAUAAUUAUUUUUCAUAAUGAGGUAUCACUUAUAUAGACAUGUAAUGGGUUUAUUUUAUUUUUAAUAAACAAAUACACAAAUAUGUUGAAAAAAAAAAAAAAA